This 546-nucleotide ribosomal RNA is filed under the name uncultured bacterium. Its description in RNAcentral is "bacterial SSU rRNA". It matches the Rfam family "Bacterial small subunit ribosomal RNA", at positions 37 to 616 of the family's 1533-position model. The record is from RNAcentral.
UGGCGGCGCGCUUACACAUGCAAGUCGAGCGAGAAAGUGGAGCAAUCCAUGAGUAAAGCGGCGUACGGGUGAGUAACACGUGGGUGAUCUACCUCUUAGUGGGGAAUAACCCUGGGAAACCGGGGCUAAUACCGCAUAAGCCUGAGAAGGGAAAGCAGCAAUGCGCUGGGAGAGGAGCCCGCGGCCGAUUAGCUAGUUGGUGGGGUAAUGGCUCACCAAGGCGACGAUCGGUAGCCGGCCUGAGAGGGCACACGGCCACACUGGCACUGAAACACGGGCCAGACUCCUACGGGAGGCAGCAGUGGGGAAUCUUGCACAAUGGAGGCAACUCUGAUGCAGCGACGCCGCGUGAGCGAUGAAGCCCUUCGGGGUGUAAAGCUCUUUCGGCAGGAACGAUAAUGACGGUACCUGCAGAAGAAGCUGCGGCUAACUACGUGCCAGCAGCCGCGGUAAUACGUANGCAGCGAGCGUUGUUCGGAAUUACUGGGCGUAAAGAGUGUGUAGGCGGUGCUCUAAGUUCGGUGUGAAAUCUCCUGGCUUAACUGG